RNAcentral lists this ribosomal RNA (245 nucleotides) under uncultured bacterium. RNAcentral's name for it is "partial 16S ribosomal RNA". It matches the Rfam family "Bacterial small subunit ribosomal RNA", at positions 524 to 768 of the family's 1533-position model. The record is from RNAcentral.
UACGGAGGGUGCGAGCGUUAAUCGGAAUUACUGGGCGUAAAGCGCGCGUAGGCGGUUUGAUCAGUCUGAUGUGAAAGCCCUGGGCUUAACCUGGGAACGGCAUUGGAUACUGUCAAGCUCGAGUGUGAGAGAGGGUAGUGGAAUUUCCGGUGUAGCAGUGAAAUGCGUAGAGAUCGGAAGGAACACCAGUGGCGAAGGCGGCUACCUGGAUCAACACUGACGCUGAGGUGCGAAAGCGUGGGGAG